RNAcentral lists this unclassified non-coding RNA (341 nucleotides) under fungal sp. RNAcentral's name for it is "partial internal transcribed spacer region". The stretch from base 1 to 46 matches the Rfam family "Eukaryotic small subunit ribosomal RNA", at positions 1786 to 1831 of the family's 1831-position model. The record is from RNAcentral. Lineage: Eukaryota; Fungi.
AAGUCGUAACAAGGUUUCCGUAGGUGAACCUGCGGAAGGAUCAUUAACACGUAUCCAACGUUAAACCCCCCUGUGAACCUUCAUUGUGCUCCCACGCUUUGUUAGAAAGUGGCAAUCCCUGGUAAAUCAUCGCCGAACAGUUUUGAUUCAGGGACUUCUGCGAAGAGGGUGAAUCACUAACUCUGUACGAAUGGCGCAGUCACGUUCGCUGGAGGCCGACACGGCCGGCGACCGGGUCCCUGAGCUCUGCUCCCUAAUAACCUUUGCAUGAAAACGGGCCUGCGCUUAAUUGUGCGGCCACCAAACUCGAACAACUGUUAACAAUGGAUAUCUUGGUUCUC